This 1211-nucleotide ribosomal RNA is filed under the name uncultured bacterium. RNAcentral's name for it is "bacterial SSU rRNA". It matches the Rfam family "Bacterial small subunit ribosomal RNA", at positions 99 to 1312 of the family's 1533-position model. The record is from RNAcentral.
CGCACGGGUGCGUAACACGUAUGCAACCUACCCUGUACCGGGACACAACCCUCCGAAAGGGGGGCUAAUAUCCCAUGACAUUGCGGAUGGGCAUCCAUUUGCAAUUAAAGAUUCAUUGGUACAGGAUGGGCAUGCGUCCCAUUAGCUAGUUGGAGGGGUAACGGCCCACCAAGGCGACGAUGGGUAGGGGUUCUGAGAGGAAGGUCCCCCACACUGGUACUGAAGACACGGACCAGACUCCUACGGGAGGCAGCAGUAAGGAAUAUUGGGCAAUGGUCGGAAGACUGACCCAGCCAUGCCGCGUGCAGGAAGACGGCCCUAUGGGUUGUAAACUGCUUUUGUCGGGGAAUAAACCUGCCCACGUGUGGGCAGCUGAAGGUACCCGGCGAAUAAGCAUCGGCUAACUCCGUGCCAGCAGCCGCGGUAAUACGGAGGAUGCAAGCGUUAUCCGGAUUCACUGGGUUUAAAGGGUGCGCAGGCGGGAUGAUAAGUCAGAGGUGAAAUCCUACGGCUCAACUGUAGAACUGCCUUUGAUACUGUCGUUCUUGAGUAAAGUUGGAGUGGGCGGAAUGUGUUGUGUAGCGGUGAAAUGCUUAGAUAUAACACAGAACACCGAUCGCGAAGGCAGCUCACUAAGCUUUAACUGACGCUCAUGCACGAAAGCGUGGGGAUCAAACAGGAUUAGAUACCCUGGUAGUCCACGCUGUAAACGAUGAUCACUCGCUGUUGGCGAUACACUGCCAGUGGCUAAGCGAAAGUGAUAAGUGAUCCACCUGGGGAGUACGAUCGCAAGAUUGAAACUCAAAGGAAUUGACGGGGGCCCGCACAAGCGGAGGAGCAUGUGGUUUAAUUCGAUGAUACGCGAGGAACCUUACCAGGGCUCGAACGCGGGGGGAAUCACGUGGAAACGCGUGAGCCAGCAAUGGCCGCCUGCGAGGUGCUGCAUGGUUGUCGUCAGUUCGUGCCGUGAGGUGUCAGGUUAAGUCCUAUAACGAGCGCAACCCCUAUCCUUAGUUGCCAGCAAGUAAAGUUGGGGACUCUAAGGAAACUGCCUACGCAAGUAGUGAGGAAGGUGGGGAUGACGUCGAGUCAGCACGGCCCUUAUGUCCUGGGCUACACACGUGCUACAAUGGUCGGUACAGAGGGCAGCUACCGGGCGACCGGAUGCUAAUCUCGAAAGCCGAUCUCAGUUCGGAUCGGAGUCUGCAACC